AAUCAAUAUUUCUCAUGAUCGAGCGGAAAGCAUGAUGGAAAGGAGCACGACUCAUCUGUAAAGAAGAAAGUAUUAUCCAAAAGAAUCAUCCAGAAAGAAGUAUCAUCAAAAAUUCUGAGACGUUUCACAUCAGCAACAAAUUUUUUGUAUUUUGAGGGGAAAAUCCAACGGUGGCUUUAAAGCCAAGAAUAAAAUUUUUCCCUUUCACGAUGGGUAUCUACUUGAUGAGAGUCUUCACGAUAACUUUUUUUUGCUCCAGUGCAGCAUCGAUGAUAACGUUCUUCACAUCCGUCGUGUGAGUCGCAUGCAUUUAUGUUCCUCCGGUCACUCAAUCAUGUCGUAGGACGAAAGGUCCGAAUCGGCACGGGUG
This is a long non-coding RNA of Frieseomelitta varia, 370 nucleotides long. RefSeq lists it as uncharacterized. The record is from RefSeq and is a predicted model, not a curated record. The transcript is spliced from 3 exons. Lineage: Eukaryota; Metazoa; Arthropoda; Insecta; Hymenoptera; Apidae.